CACCAUGAAGGAGGACCUGGAGACCCUGCUGGCCUCGGAACAGGCCAAUAUAAUAGCCAAGUACCAUCAAGGUGAGGCCCAGAGAGCGCGCAGAGAUGCUGGAGCGCCCACUAGAGGAAAUGAAGGAGGAGCCUGAGGUCUCUUCCCCAAAACCAAACAGAUCGCCCUGAACGUGAACAAGACCUUCCGCAGCCACAUGGUGUUCUGGGACCGCUGUGGGGUCAGGUGAGGCUGCCGGCCAAGCUGGGUUCUGGGGGCUCCAGGGACACUCCGGGGUCCAGGGGAUGCCCAGGGGCUUCUGGGUGGGGAACACGGGGGCUCUGAGGAGAGGGGGAGGGAGGGCAGCAAACCAUACUGUCUCGUGGUAAAGUGAUUAGGACGACCCCUUAUCCCCUCGGGGUCUGUUGAUGACGAGGGCGCAGGACAGGCCUCCCGGUGUCACUGUGUGAGCUGAACCCCACCGGGUGACAUAGAACUUCCCUGUGAAGAGCAGGGCUCAGGGUCGGGGGCCAUAGGGGAGCAGUGAGGGACCCUGGGGCGGGCAGCACAGCUGCAGAGGGACCAGGACACAGGUGGACCAAAUGAGGUCAGACAGGUAAACGUGACCACAUUUGGUGUUUCUAUGUAUUUUGAAUUUUUUAAUUUUAUUUUAGACAAUCUGCAUUGUCUGUUAGCGUGAAUAGUGUGAUGACCCCCCGAUGCCGUCCCUGUCCACCUGGGGACCUGCGCUCACCACAUGGGUCCCCAGUUGCAAGUGUGUUACAGAAACCCCAGACCUGGGGGGAUGUACCUAUGGUCGUUCUCGGAUGUAUCUUAGAAAACAGGGAUACCCUGUGUGUGCAUCCUCCCAACAUCCCCACCACGCCAUCCCCCCAUACCAUCCCCCCUCUCCCUCCCCCCACCUCCCCCAUGAUAUCCCCCUCCAUCCCUGCAAACCAUCACCUCCAUACCUCCUCCCCACACCAUCUCCCCACCAUCCCCCCAAACCUUCCUCUCCACGUCAUCCCCCCGCCAUCCCCCACGCCACAUCUCCCAUGUGUUCCCCCCUACUCCACCCACGCUAUCCACCCCCAUUCCCUCCAAACCAUCCCCUCCACAGUAUCCCUCACAGCAUCCCCCAGAGCAUUCCCCCCACCAUCCCCCCACGCCAUCCCCCCACAUCAUUACCUGCCCCCUCAAACAAUGUGGUGCAGCUGCUUAGUGUGGGGCAUGUUCGCGCCUCCCUGGCCACCUUACAGCCUCUGAGGCCGUCCCAUCAGAAGCCCGGGUGUCCUGCUAGUCUCCAGGGACCCAGUAGGAGGGAGAGGACAGCAGUGGCGCCCGGACAGGGUGGGUGCAGGUGCACGGAGCGGAGGCUGGAGCUCCGUGUGUGCAGCGUGCGGAGGCCGGCGGUGCGUGUCAGAGGGGCGCGGGGACGGGCUGAGGAGCCGCCGGCAGGGGUGCCUGAGCUUCCCGGGGGGCCGCUUGGACCUCUCACUGAGAGACACCGAGGCUCCUCCACUGAGGGGGUGUGUUGUACCCCUGACCUGGUGACCCUGUGUCGCCCUUGGGCCUCAGAGUGCGGCGGGGUCAGGCUGACCUGUGACCCCUGGUCCCCGGUGAGGCAGCCUCCAGCAGGCCUGGCAGGGGGGCAGUGGGAGUUGGGGGUACAGACUCGUGCAGGCGGGGGUCAGGAAAUGCUGAAACGGGACCUCACCGCUCACCCAUAUUGCUCAGAGAUAGUGACCCAACUGCUUCGAAUCUUUUAUCUGUGUCAAACCUGCAUGAACGCUCCCGGCAUUCUCACCACGGCUGCAACCCGGAGGCACCCGAGAUGCUCCUGGAUGAGCGGCACGAGGUCCUUAACACAGAGGCCAGGACAAGGAAUAGAUGUGCACUGGCAUUUACACCCCCAGGGAGUUCCUUCAGUGUUUCAUCGACCAGGUAAGGCCACCCAAGGACCCCUACUCCCUGACCAACUGUCUGACCCCAGGAAGGGCCGAGCUCAGCCCCAGCCUCCAGACAAGUCAGGUCCGACCCCUGAACCCUGGAGUCUGAGGCUCACAGCCCAGACCCACCCUGGAGAAGCCCGAGGGUCCCUUGAGGAGUUUCCUGGGGGCCAGACUAUCUCUGCCUCAGCUUCCCCAGGGAAGGCCAGGUCAGCCUGGGGUGUGGAUGAGCCCUUGGCCCAUUGCACCCAGCCUGGGGUCCACCUGGGGUAUGUGGUCACCAAGCGGGGGCCUUGUCUGAUGCAGCCAGGGCGGCGGCAGGGGAUGUGGGCCAAUGGGAGCCCCUAA
RNAcentral lists this long non-coding RNA (2276 nucleotides) under Canis lupus familiaris (dog). Its description in RNAcentral is "lncRNA (ENSCAFG00040005357.1)". The record is from RNAcentral. Lineage: Eukaryota; Metazoa; Chordata; Mammalia; Carnivora; Canidae.